UGCCGCGUGCAGGAAGACGGCCCUACGGGUUGUAAACUGCUUUUCCGGGGGACGAAUAGGGCCGACGUGUCGGCCGAUGCCGGUACCCCGGGAAUAAGGAUCGGCUAACUCCGUGCCAGCAGCCGCGGUAAUACGGAGGAUCCGAGCGUUAUCCGGAUUUACUGGGUUUAAAGGGUGCGUAGGCGGGCUCCUAAGUCGGCGGUGAAAGUCUGCGGCUCAACCGUAGGAUUGCCGUUGAUACUGGGGGCCUUGGAUACGGUCGAGGCGGGUGGAAUGCGCGGUGUAGCGGUGAAAUGCUUAGAUAUCGCGCAGAACGCCGAUUGCGAAGGCAGCUCGCCAGGCCGUGAUUGACGCUGAGGCACGACAGCGUGGGGAUCGAACAGGAUUAGAUACCCUGGUAGUCCACGCCGUAAACGAUGAUGGCUGGGUGUUGGCGGUACACGGUCAGCGCCUGAGCGAAAGCAUUAAGCCAUCCACCUGGGGAGUACGGCCGCAAGGUUGAAACUCAAAGGAAUUGACGGGGGCCCGCACAAGCGGAGGAACAUGUGGUUUAAUUCGAUGAUACGCGAGGAACCUUACCCGGGCUAGAACGCCGAACGAACGGCCCCGAAAGGGGUCGGCCAGCGAUGGCGGUCGGCGAGGUGCUGCAUGGUUGUCGUCAGCUCGUGCCGUGAGGUGUCGGGUUAAGUCCCAUAACGAGCGCAACCCCUACCGCCAGUUGCCAGCGGGCAAUGCCGGGGACUCUGGCGGAACUGCCGGCGUAAGCCGCGAGGAAGGCGGGGAUGACGUCAAAUCAGCACGGCCCUUACGUCCGGGGCUACACACGUGUUACAAUGGCCGGUACAGAGGGCAGCCACCCCGCGAGGGGGCGCUAAUCUCGAAAGCCGGUCCCAGUUCGGAUCGGGGUCUGCAACCCGACCCCGUGAAGUUGGAUUCGCUAGUAAUC
Molecule: ribosomal RNA, 946 nt
Filed under: uncultured Bacteroidota bacterium
Lineage: Bacteria; Pseudomonadati; Bacteroidota
Description: bacterial SSU rRNA
Rfam family: Bacterial small subunit ribosomal RNA
Source: RNAcentral